CCUCAACGUAGUUUUGCCCUUUUUUUUAACGUUUAAUUAUUUAUUUUAUUUAAAAAUUUUUAUGAUUAUAUUUUUAUUGUUAUUAAAUGAUAAAAUAUGAAUAGUGCUUUAAGCAUAACUAAUUUUUAUUAUUUUUUUAUAAUUUUUCAAAUAAAUAGAUGAUCAAACGUUGGAUACGAAAAUCCAUUACUGCACGGGAU
Molecule: microRNA precursor, 200 nt
Filed under: Oryza punctata
Lineage: Eukaryota; Viridiplantae; Streptophyta; Magnoliopsida; Poales; Poaceae
Description: MIR812 microRNA precursor family
Rfam family: MIR812 microRNA precursor family
Source: Rfam by way of RNAcentral